This 387-nucleotide ribosomal RNA is filed under the name uncultured bacterium. Its description in RNAcentral is "bacterial SSU rRNA". It matches the Rfam family "Bacterial small subunit ribosomal RNA", at positions 30 to 419 of the family's 1533-position model. The record is from RNAcentral.
AUUGAACGCUGGCGGCAUGCCUUACACAUGCAAGUCGAACGGCAGCGGACCUUCGGGUGCCGGCGAGUGGCGAACGGGUGAGUAAUAUAUCGGAACGUACCUUUCAGUGGGGGAUAACGUGGCGAAAGUUACGCUAAUACCGCAUAUUCUGUGAGCAGGAAAGCAGGGGAUCGCAAGACCUUGCGCUGAUUGAGCGGCCGAUAUCAGAUUAGCUAGUUGGUGAGGUAAAGGCUCACCAAGGCGACGAUCUGUAGCGGGUCUGAGAGGAUGAUCCGCCACACUGGAACUGAGACACGGUCCAGACUCCUACGGGAGGCAGCAGUGGGGAAUUUUGGACAAUGGGCGCAAGCCUGAUCCAGCCAUGCCGCGUGAGUGAAGAAGGCCUUC